RNAcentral lists this ribosomal RNA (459 nucleotides) under uncultured bacterium. RNAcentral's name for it is "partial 16S ribosomal RNA". It matches the Rfam family "Bacterial small subunit ribosomal RNA", at positions 338 to 795 of the family's 1533-position model. The record is from RNAcentral.
CCUACGGGGGGCAGCAGUGAGGAAUAUUGGUCAAUGGCCGGAAGGCUGAACCAGCCAAGCCGCGUGAAGGACGAAGGUGCCAAGCAUUGUAAACUUCUUUUGUCAAGGGACAAAAUCAGGCUCGAGAGCCUGACCGAGGGUACUUGAAGAACAAGCAUCGGCUAACUCCGUGCCAGCAGCCGCGGUAAUACGGAGGAUGCGAGCGUUAUCCGGAUUUAUUGGGUUUAAGGGGUGCGUAGGCGGACUGUUAAGUCAGCGGUAAAAGCCCGGGGCUAAACCCCGGCGAGCCUUUGAAACUGGCUGUCUUGAGAUGUCGAGAGGUAUGCGGAAUGCGCAGUGUAGCGGUGAAAUGCUUAGAGAUUGCGCAGAACUCCGAUUGCGAAGGCAGCAUACUGGCGGCGAUCUGACGCUGAGGCACGAAAGCGUGGGUAUCGAACAGGAUUAGAUACCCGGGUAGUC